This 433-nucleotide ribosomal RNA is filed under the name uncultured bacterium. RNAcentral's name for it is "partial 16S ribosomal RNA". It matches the Rfam family "Bacterial small subunit ribosomal RNA", at positions 29 to 507 of the family's 1533-position model. The record is from RNAcentral.
AACGAACGCUGGCGGCAGGCUUAACACAUGCAAGUCGAACGCACCUUUCGGGGUGAGUGGCAGACGGGUGAGUAACGCGUGGGAAUCUACCCUUCUCUACGGGAUAGCUCCGGGAAACUGGAAUUAAUACCGUAUACGUCCUGAGGGAGAAAGAUUUAUCGGGGAAGGAUGAGCCCGCGUUGGAUUAGCUAGUUGGUGGGGUAAAGGCCUACCAAGGCGACGAUCCAUAGCUGGUCUAAGAGGAUGAUCAGCCACAUUGGGACUGAGACACGGCCCAAACUCCUACGGGAGGCAGCAGUGGGGAAUAUUGGACAAUGGGCGCAAGACUGAUCCAGCCAUGCCGCGUGAGUGAUGAAGGCCCUAGGGUUGUAAAGCUCUUUCAGUGGGGACGAUAAUGACGGUACCCACAGAAGAAGCCCCGGCUAACUUCGUG